CAUACCACCCUGUCUGCGCCCGAUCUCGUCUGAUCUCAGAAGCUAUGCAGCGUAGGGCCUGGUUAGUACUUGGAUGGGAGCCCGCCUGGGAAUACCAGGUGCUGUAANNN
This 110-nucleotide ribosomal RNA is filed under the name Sinocyclocheilus rhinocerous. The record is from RNAcentral. Lineage: Eukaryota; Metazoa; Chordata; Actinopteri; Cypriniformes; Cyprinidae.